Molecule: long non-coding RNA, 1782 nt
Organism: Bos taurus (domestic cattle)
Lineage: Eukaryota; Metazoa; Chordata; Mammalia; Artiodactyla; Bovidae
Source: Ensembl
UGGAGACGCUCCCCGCGGGCCUCGAGUCCUGCCUCCCGCACUGCGGUCCUGGGGAACCUGGAAAAGGCGCUUUCCCUCCUACGGAUGUCUUUCUUUUGUACACAGUUGGCGUUCUGUUUUGCUCGGAGCAUUUUUGGUAGCACCCCGAGGUUGGGUAACACCCAGGGCUUGGCCAACCCCAUCGUGCUCUUUUCUCCGCUUGUAACAUGUGUGACCACAAAGCCACCGCAGGCAUCACGUGGGUCGCUCAGCGGCUCGGACGCAGACACGCCUCUGGCUUCCCCUGGAGGGCGGGGCUUCGCCUUUACCCUUUCCUGCCGGUCACUGGCCGUCAGGACGAAAGGACUGGAGGAAAGAAGGAACUGCCCACUUCCUUUAAGAAGCUGUGAAGCAAAUGGCUCUUCCACCUUUAAAGUUUUCAGAAGGACUUUAUGCCCACUGUGGAUUGCCUGAAAAAUCCCAUGGACGGGGAAGCCUGGUGGGCUGCAGUCCGUGGGGUCGCUAAGAGUGGGACACGACUGAGAGACUUCACUUUCACUUUUCACUUUCAUUCAUUGGAGGAGGAAAUGGCAGCCCACUCCAGUGUUCUUGCCUGGAGAGUCCCAGGGACAGCGGGGCCUGGUGGGCUGCCGUCUAUGGGGUCGCACAGAGUCGGACACGACUGAAGCGACUUAACAGCAGCAGCAGCAGUGGAAAAACCAAAUACCACAAUACAGUUACAUCUCACGAUUUGUUAAUAUUUUGUUAAGUUUUUCCCUAAACAUCUGCUGCUAAGUCACUUCAGUCGUGUCCAAAACAUCUGCAGCCUUGGAAUAAUGUGAGUUUGGAUGGAGGGUGACGAGGAAUGGGCUGGUAUCCACUUUCCAGGCACCACCUUCGCGUUAGGACUCGGGGACCACAUGGACCCUACAGCUGACGCAGUUUGGAACUCUGGCCCCUACUCACAACAGGAAGGUUCAAAUGAGAUGAUAAAUUGUGGGAAGUUAGGAGGUUACUAAUCUGUCAUAAUACGGUUUAAAUGAGGUUUUAAGAUGCUGAGUCGAGGAGUCUUAGCUUCUGGAGGCGACUAUGGAGAGCCUCUGGUUUCCAGUCCCUGCAGGGGCCAAAAGUGCAGCUUGCAGGAUCUUAGCUGCCUGACCAGGGAUUGAAUCUGGGCCCUCAAUGAAAGCACAGAAUCCUAAUCACUGGACCACCAGGGAGUUCCCUAGGCAUGCAGUGUGUUUUGUGGGGUUUUUUUAAUAGUUGAUUUAAUUGAUUUAUUUAUUUGGCUGCACAUGUCUCAGUCGCAGCAUGUGGGGUCUCUCAGUUCCCAGACCAGGGACCAAACCCAGGGCCCCCACACUGGGAGCUCGGCAUGUUAGCCACUGGACCACCAGGGAAUGCCCUAGGCGUGCAUUCUCACAAGAGGGAUCUGUAAAGCCAGGUAGUCUUUAAUGAGUGGAAGAAACCUGUGGGGGUGUACACUGGAGACUCGGGGGCACGUCUUCUCCCACAUCCCCGAAUUCUACCAGUUCCAACAACCCAGGCCGAGAGACCUGGGUCUCUAACAUGGCUCUCCUGCAUUAAAGAUGGUGCCUCUGGAAUUCCCAUCUGAGAUGCUGACAGAUGGACUCAGAAGUCCUGCUGAUACAGUGAAUGCUUAUCAACUGAUUGAGUGACAUCUUAAACAGGCAGUAUCUCUCUAAAAGGGAAUCAUAUGACGUCACUGCCUCAGGGAGGCCUGUCUGUCGGUCACCUGUCCCCGUGUCUUCGGUGUUUUCGUGAGAAGAAGUUCUAAUGGCU